RNAcentral lists this ribosomal RNA (425 nucleotides) under uncultured bacterium. RNAcentral describes it as "bacterial SSU rRNA". It matches the Rfam family "Bacterial small subunit ribosomal RNA", at positions 355 to 773 of the family's 1533-position model. The record is from RNAcentral.
UGGGGAAUUUUGCGCAAUGGGCGAAAGCCUGACGCAGCAACGCCGCGUGUGUGAUGAAGGUUUUCGGAUCGUAAAGCACUUUCGACCGGGAAGAAAACGGGUUGGCUAAUAUCCAAUCUCUUGACGGUACCGGGAGAAGAAGCACCGGCUAACUCUGUGCCAGCAGCCGCGGUAAUACAGAGGGUGCAAGCGUUGUUCGGAAUUAUUGGGCGUAAAGCGCGUGUAGGCGGCUUUGCAAGUCGGGUGUGAAAGCCCUCGGCUCAACCGAGGAAGUGCGCCCGAAACUGCAGAGCUUGAGUACCGGAGAGGGUGGCGGAAUUCCCCAAGUAGAGGUGAAAUUCGUAGAUAUGGGGAGGAACACCGGUGGCGAAGGCGGCCACCUGGACGGAUACUGACGCUGAGACGCGAAAGCGUGGGGAGCAAAC